AUCGGUACGGGUUGUGGGAGCAAGAGCCCGGAGAUGGAUUCUGAGACACGAAUCCAGGCCCUACGGGGCGCAGCAGGCGCGAAAACUUUACAAUGCGAGAAAUCGUGAUAAGGGAACCCCGAGUGCCCGUAAAUUCGGGCUGUCCAUCAGUGCAAAAAACUGGUGAAGAAAGAGCCGGGCAAGACCGGUGCCAGCCGCCGCGGUAAUACCGGCGGCUCGAGUGGUGGCCACUAUUACUGGGCUUAAAGCGUCCGUAGCUUGGUUGUUAAGUCUUCUGGGAAAUCCAUCGGCUUAACCGAUGGGAGUUCAGGAGAUACUGGCAACCUAGGGACCGGGAGAGGUGAGAGGUACUCCAGGGGUAGGAGUGAAAUCCUGUAAUCCUUGGGGGACCACCUGUGGCGAAGGCGUCUCACUAGAACGGCUCCGACAGUGAGGGACGAAAGCUGGGGGAGCAAACCGGAUUAGAUACCCGGGUAGUCCCAGCUGUAAACAAUGCGCGUUAGGUG
RNAcentral lists this ribosomal RNA (506 nucleotides) under uncultured Methanomicrobiales archaeon. RNAcentral's name for it is "bacterial SSU rRNA". It matches the Rfam family "Archaeal small subunit ribosomal RNA", at positions 263 to 773 of the family's 1478-position model. The record is from RNAcentral. Lineage: Archaea; Methanobacteriati; Methanobacteriota; Methanomicrobia; Methanomicrobiales.